GCCCAGACUCCUACGGGAGGCAGCAGUGGGGAAUAUUGCACAAUGGGGGAAACCCUGAUGCAGCGACGCCGCGUGGGCGAGGAAGUACCUCGGUAUGUAAAGCCCUCUCAGCAGGGAAGAAACAGGACAGUACCUGACUAAGGAGCCCCGGCUAACUACGUGCCAGCAGCCGCGGUAAUACGUAGGUGGCAAGCGUUGUCCGGAUUUACUGGGUGUAAAGGGCGUGUAGCCGGGCUGACAAGUCAGAUGUGAAAUCCGGGGGCUCAACCCCCGAACUGCAUUUGAAACUGUUGGUCUUGAGUAUCGGAGAGGCAGGCGGAAUUCCUAGUGUAGCGGUGAAAUGCGUAGAUAUUAGGAGGAACACCAGUGGCGAAGGCGGCUUACUGGACAGUAACUGACGUUGAGGCUCGAAAGCGUGGGGAGCAAACAGGAUUAGAUACCCUCGUA
Molecule: ribosomal RNA, 447 nt
Filed under: uncultured bacterium
Lineage: Bacteria
Description: bacterial SSU rRNA
Rfam family: Bacterial small subunit ribosomal RNA
Source: RNAcentral